This 492-nucleotide ribosomal RNA is filed under the name uncultured bacterium. RNAcentral describes it as "partial 16S ribosomal RNA". It matches the Rfam family "Bacterial small subunit ribosomal RNA", at positions 29 to 507 of the family's 1533-position model. The record is from RNAcentral.
AGUGAACGCUGGCGGUAGGCCUAACACAUGCAAGUCGAACGGCAGCACAGUAAGAGCUUGCUCUUACGGGUGGCGAGUGGCGGACGGGUGAGGAAUACAUCGGAAUCUACUUUUUCUUGGGGGAUAACGUAGGGAAACUUACGCUAAUACCGCAUACGACCUACGGGUUAAAGCAGUGGAUCUUCGGACCUUUCGCGAUUGAAUGAGCCGAUGUCGGAUUAGCUAGUUGGCGGGGUAAAGGCCCACCAAGGCGACGAUCCGUAGCUGGUCUGAGAGGAUGAUCAGCCACACUGGAACUGAGACACGGUCCAGACUCCUACGGGAGGCAGCAGUGGGGAAUAUUGGACAAAGGGCGAAAGCCUGAUCCAGCAAUACCGCGUGGGUGAAGAAGGCCUUCGGGUUGUAAAGCCCUUUUGUUGGGAAAGAAAAGCAGCAGGUUAAUACCCCGCUGUUCUGACGGUACCCAAAGAAUAAGCACCGGCUAACUUCGUG